CAACCUGCCCCUCGCUCCGGGGACAGCCCCGGAAACCGGGGAUGAUACCCGGAUACUCCGCCCCUCCGCAUGGAGGGCGGAAAGCCCAGACGGCGAGGGAUGGGGCCCCGCGGCCUGUUAGCUUGUUGGCGGGGCAGCGGCCCACCAAGGCGAUGAUGGGUAGCCGGGUUGAGAGACCGACCGGCCAGAUUGGGACUGAGACACGGCCCAGACUCCUACGGGAGGCAGCAGUGGGGAAUCUUGCACAAUGGGCGGAAGCCUGAUGCAGCGACGCCGCGUGCGGGACGAAGGCCUUCGGGCUGCAGACCGCUUUCAGCAGGGACGAGGCGCAAGUGACGGUACCUGCAGAAGAAGCCCGGCUAACUACGUGCC
This 372-nucleotide ribosomal RNA is filed under the name uncultured bacterium. Its description in RNAcentral is "bacterial SSU rRNA". It matches the Rfam family "Bacterial small subunit ribosomal RNA", at positions 122 to 509 of the family's 1533-position model. The record is from RNAcentral.